UACGAAGGGUGCUAGCGUUGCUCGGAAUUACUGGGCGUAAAGCGCACGUAGGCGGAUUGUUAAGUCGGGGGUGAAAUCCUGGAGCUCAACUCCAGAACUGCCUUCGAUACUGGCGAUCUCGAGUUCGGGAGAGGUGAGUGGAACUGCGAGUGUAGAGGUGAAAUUCGUAGAUAUUCGCAAGAACACCAGUGGCGAAGGCGACUUACUGGACACAUAUUGACGCUGAGGUGCGAAAGCGUGGGGAGCAAACAGG
RNAcentral lists this ribosomal RNA (253 nucleotides) under uncultured bacterium. Its description in RNAcentral is "partial 16S ribosomal RNA". It matches the Rfam family "Bacterial small subunit ribosomal RNA", at positions 524 to 776 of the family's 1533-position model. The record is from RNAcentral.